GGUCUGGUAAUUGGAAUGAGUACAAUCCAAACACCUUAACGAGGAUCCAUUGGAGGGCAAGUCUGGUGCCAGCAGCCGCGGUAACACCAGCUCCAAUAGCGUAUAUUAAAGUUGUUGCAGUUAAAAAGCUCGUAGUUGGAUUUCUGGUCUGGAUUGCCUGGUCCGUCCCAAACGGGAUGUUGACCGGUUGUGGUCCAGCCAUUCUUCGUGGAGAACUUAAUGGCUCUUGAUUGAGUUUCAUUAAGGGAUCCCGAUCAUUUACUUUGAGAAAAUUAGAGUGUUCAAAGCAGGCUUAUGCCUUGAAUACAUUAGCAUGGAAUAAUAAGAUAAGACUUUGGUCUUGUUUUGUUGGUUUCUAAGACUGAAGUAAUGAUUGAUAGGGAUAGUUGGGGGUGCUCGUAUUCAACGGCCAGAGGUGAAAUUCAGUGAUUCGUUGAAGACGAACUUAUGCGAAAGCAUUCACCAAGGAUGUCUUCUUUAAUCAAGAACGAAAGUUGCGGGAGCGAAGACGAUCAGAUACCGUCGUAGUCUCAACCAUAAACGAUGCCGACUAGGGAUUGGUGGAUGUUAGUUUUUGACUCCAUCAGCACCUUCCGAGAAAUCAAAGUCUUUGGGUUCCGGGGGGAGUAUGGUCGCAAGGCUGAAACUUAAAGGAAUUGACGGAAGGGCACCACAAGGAGUGGAGCCUGCGGCUUAAUUUGACCCAACACGGGAAAACUUACCAGGUCCAGACAUAGUAAGGAUUGACAGUUAGCAGCUCUUUCUUGAUUCUAUGGGUGGUGGUGCAUGGCCGUUCUUAGUUGGUGGAGUGAUCUGUCUGGUUGAUUCCGUUAACGAACGAGACCUCAGCCUACUAAAUAGUUGAGCCAAUGUUGCAUUGGCGAUCAACUUCUUAGAGGGACUUUGAGUGUCGAGCCCAAGGAGGUUUGAGGCAAUAACAGGUCUGUGAUGCCCUUAGAUGUUCUGGGCUGCACGCGCGCUACACUGGUGCAUUCAACGAGUUUACAACCUUGAUCGAAAGAUCUGGGUAAUCUUUGAAAAUGCACCGUGCUUGAGCUAGAUUAUUGCAAUUAUUAAUCUUAAACGAGGAAUUCCUAGUAAGCGCGAGUCAUCAGCUCGCACUGAUUACGUCCCUGCCCUUUGUACACACCGCCCGUCGCUCCUACCGAUUGAAUGAUCCGGUGAAAUCAACGGACUGCGGCGAAUAUGCAUUCGUGCAUUGUUCUGCUGUCAGGAAGUGGAUUAAACCUUAUCAUUU
This 1258-nucleotide ribosomal RNA is filed under the name metagenome. Its description in RNAcentral is "SSU rRNA". It matches the Rfam family "Eukaryotic small subunit ribosomal RNA", at positions 499 to 1774 of the family's 1831-position model. The record is from RNAcentral.